GCACCCGUAGCUCAAUGGAUAGAGCGUUUGUCUACGGAACAAAAGGUUGGAGGUUCGAGUCCUCUCGGGUGCA
RNAcentral lists this transfer RNA (73 nucleotides) under Candidatus Ancillula hodotermitis. RNAcentral describes it as "tRNA-Arg". It matches the Rfam family "tRNA". From Rfam's summary of the family: Transfer RNA (tRNA) molecules are approximately 80 nucleotides in length. Their secondary structure includes four short double-helical elements and three loops (D, anti-codon, and T loops). Lineage: Bacteria; Bacillati; Actinomycetota; Actinomycetes; Bifidobacteriales; Bifidobacteriaceae. The record is from RNAcentral.